AGUGAACGCUGGCGGUAGGCCUAACACAUGCAAGUCGAACGGCAGCACAGUAAGAGCUUGCUCUUACGGGUGGCGAGUGGCGGACGGGUGAGGAAUACAUCGGAAUCUACUUUUUCGUGGGGGAUAACGUAGGGAAACUUACGCUAAUACCGCAUACGACCUACGGGUGAAAGCAGGGGAUCUUCGGACCUUGCGCGAUUGAAUGAGCCGAUGUCGGAUUAGCUAGUUGGCGGGGUAAAGGCCCACCAAGGCGACGAUCCGUAGCUGGUCUGAGAGGAUGAUCAGCCACACUGGAACUGAGACACGGUCCAGACUCCUACGGGAGGCAGCAGGGGGGAAUAUUGGACAAUGGGCGCAAGCCUGAUCCAGCCAUACCGCGUGGGUGAAGAAGGCCUUCGGGUUGUAAAGCCCUUUUGUUGGGAAAGAAAAGCAGCAGGUUAAUACCCCGCUGUUCUGACGGUACCCAAAGAAUAAGCACCGGCUAACUUCGUGC
Molecule: ribosomal RNA, 493 nt
Filed under: uncultured bacterium
Lineage: Bacteria
Description: partial 16S ribosomal RNA
Rfam family: Bacterial small subunit ribosomal RNA
Source: RNAcentral